Oenanthe melanoleuca is the source of this 402-nucleotide long non-coding RNA. RefSeq lists it as uncharacterized. NCBI's taxonomy places the organism in Eukaryota, Metazoa, Chordata, Aves, Passeriformes, Muscicapidae. The transcript is spliced from 3 exons. The record is from RefSeq and is a predicted model, not a curated record.
CAGCAACUUAAAAUCAAGAGCAAGGGCUAAAAGAUAACUUCUGUGGCUGAUAAUUGUCAGACUGCCCAUAUUUGUUUUCCACAGUUUCACAGGAAUGACUUUAAGGAUUACUUAAGGCUACCUGACUUUUUUCAUUUUUUUCCUUCUAGAAUUUCAUGAACCUACGGGAUGGAUGUCAUGAGUGAAAGCCAAGUUGCUGUUAACUAUAUCUUAAGCAUCAUCUUACUGGGAACAUGUUUAACCUGCCAAAAAGCUCUUCUGAACUCUGACUGCAAACCAUUCCGAAGUACAAAUUUCUCAUGCAAAUGCCGUAUGACCUCAGGCUGUUUCCAGUCCAAAUAUAGUGCUACUUGAUUGAAAAAAUCCAAGAAGCAGUUCUCUUUUUGGCUCAUGUUUAGCAAU